AUUGAACGCUGGCGGCAGGCCUAACACAUGCAAGUCGAGCGGUAGAGAGGAGCUUGCUUCUCUUGAGAGCGGCGGACGGGUGAGUAAUGCCUAGGAAUCUGCCUAGUGGUGGGGGAUAACGUUCGGAAACGGACGCUAAUACCGCAUACGUCCUACGGGAGAAAGCGGGGGAUCUUCGGACCUCGCGCCAUUAGAUGAGCCUAGGUCGGAUUAGCUAGUUGGUGAGGUAAUGGCUCACCAAGGCGACGAUCCGUAACUGGUCUGAGAGGAUGAUCAGUCACACUGGAACUGAGACACGGUCCAGACUCCUACGGGAGGCAGCAGUGGGGAAUAUUGGACAAUGGGCGAAAGCCUGAUCCAGCCAUGCCGCGUGUGUGAAGAAGGUCUUCGGAUUGUAAAGCACUUUAAGUUGGGAGGAAGGGUUGUAGAUUAAUACUCUGCAAUUUUGACGUUACCGACAGAAUAAGCACCGGCUAACUUCGUG
RNAcentral lists this ribosomal RNA (484 nucleotides) under uncultured organism. RNAcentral describes it as "bacterial SSU rRNA". It matches the Rfam family "Bacterial small subunit ribosomal RNA", at positions 30 to 507 of the family's 1533-position model. The record is from RNAcentral.